UACGUAGGGUGCAAGCGUUAAUCGGAAUUACUGGGCGUAAAGCGUGCGCAGGCGGUUUUGUAAGUCUGUCGUGAAAGCCCCGGGCUCAACCUGGGAAUUACGAUGGAGACUGCAAGGCUUGAAUCUGGCAGAGGGGGGUAGAAUUCCACGUGUAGCAGUGAAAUGCGUAGAGAUGUGGAGGAACACCGAUGGCGAAGGCAGCCCCCUGGGUCAAGAUUGACGCUCAUGCACGAAAGCGUGGGGAUCAAACAGG
Molecule: ribosomal RNA, 253 nt
Filed under: uncultured bacterium
Lineage: Bacteria
Description: partial 16S ribosomal RNA
Rfam family: Bacterial small subunit ribosomal RNA
Source: RNAcentral